RNAcentral lists this small RNA (961 nucleotides) under Pan troglodytes (chimpanzee). RNAcentral describes it as "processed transcript". Lineage: Eukaryota; Metazoa; Chordata; Mammalia; Primates; Hominidae. The record is from RNAcentral.
AUGUCGGAGGCGCGUGGAGAGCCAGGGUCUGGGCCUGAGGCUGGCGCCCGAUUCUUCUGCACUGCGGGUCGCGGCCUGGAGCCUUUCCUGAUGCGGGAGGUGCGGGCGCGGCUGGCGGCCACGCAGGUUGAAUAUAUUUCAGGAAAGGUUUUUUUCACCACCUGUUCUGAUUUGAAUAUGUUGAAGAAAUUAAAAUCUGCAGAAAGAUUAUUUUUGCUGAUUAAAAAGCAGUUUCCACUUAUUAUUUCUUCUGUAAGUAAAGGAAAAAUAUUUAAUGAAAUGCAAAGACUUAUAAAUGAAGAUCCAGGAAGUUGGUUGAAUGCCAUUUCAAUUUGGAAAAAUCUUCUUGAACUUGAUGCAAAAAAGGAAAAACUUUCUCAGAGAGAUGAUAACCAACUAAAAAGAAAAGUGGGAGAAAAUGAAAUCAUUGCAAAGAAAUUAAAAAUAGAACAAAUGCAAAAGAUAGAAGAGAAUAGGGACUGCCAGCUGGAAAAACAAAUAAAAGAAGAAACUCUGGAGCAAAGAGAUUUUACCACUAAAAGCGAAAAGUUUCAAGAAGAAGAAUUUCAGAAUGACAUAGAGAAAGCAAUUGAUACUCAUAAUCAGAAUGACUUGACUUUCAGAGUAUCUUGUCGCUGCAGUGGAACUAUUGGAAAGGCCUUCACUGCACAGAUGUCCUUUGUAUUUGGAAAUCCUGAUACCAUAGUCCUCAGCUUUUGGGGUUUCUCUUCAGUUCAGCUUUGUGCUUAUUCAGUGGCUACUCUGCACAGGUCCUGUACAUGGGAUUGUCACCAGGACCUAGAUUGCAAAUGCACGUGAGGUCUCAGCAAUGUAGAGAAGAGCGAACACCACAAACUGUUGUCAUCACCAGACCUCAUCAGUUGGCCCUUACAAAGUUCAGUGAUGUUAAAGGCCAUUGGUCUGAAUACUUUAUCAACCUUAAAAUCAGUCAAACCCUAAA